CAGCAGUGCCUGGUGCCCCUGUGGCUGGUUUCUGCUGCCCUCUGGUGGCCACAGUGAGGCUUGUUCCCAAAGAGAAGCCGGAAAGGCUGCUGCAGGCCACUUGCUCCAAGGGAGGUGACCAAGGACAACCCUUUCACAUCGGUGACCCAGGCAGCUGUCUGAAUGGGCCUUCGGUCCUAAGCUCUGGUCUUAGUGCCACACAGGCCAAGUUGGGGCGUGGGUGCCAUCUUGCCAUCCACAGUGGGCAAAGACGAGAGUGGCCGGGCCCAGUCCUUCCUGUCGUGGGCUGCAAAGGCUCCAGUGGCUUUCACCAGCACUCCAGGACCCACGGUAACGACCGACCAGCUGUCUCAGCCCUGAGGCAACCCCAGAGGUCCACCACGUUUCCCAAGACCCUCUGCACUGUAGCAUUGCGUCAGCUUCCGCUGUUCAGAAGAUCAGAGGACAGGAGGCGACCAUCUCCAUAGACCCAGGCAACGGAGGAAUCUGCCCGGCUCUGUCAGGAUGAGCUGCUGAAGGCCUAUCUGUCACUGUCCCAUGCCCACUCGGUGCUGAUCACCACGGGGUUCCCCACACAUUUCAAUCGUGAGCAGAUGAGACAGAUGACCCGCUGGGAGCAAUGGCCCUGGGCACUUCCUGUGGCCUUGGAGGGUCUCCAGGGUGGUCGGCCAGAGAGCCUUGAGCUUGCACAGGAAGCUUGUUGAAGACGCUGUAGAGCAAGGUGAGCAGGGACGGGCCCAGUCUA
Molecule: long non-coding RNA, 745 nt
Filed under: Ictidomys tridecemlineatus (thirteen-lined ground squirrel)
Lineage: Eukaryota; Metazoa; Chordata; Mammalia; Rodentia; Sciuridae
Description: lncRNA (ENSSTOG00000009461.3)
Source: RNAcentral